AAUCGAAUAGCUUAAAUUUAAAGCAUAAAAUUUUUAAUUUUAAGAUGAUUUAUUUUUCGAUUA
RNAcentral lists this transfer RNA (63 nucleotides) under Pseudocapillaria tomentosa. RNAcentral describes it as "tRNA-Lys". Lineage: Eukaryota; Metazoa; Nematoda; Enoplea; Trichinellida; Capillariidae. The record is from RNAcentral.